Molecule: long non-coding RNA, 1066 nt
Filed under: Mytilus galloprovincialis (Mediterranean mussel)
Lineage: Eukaryota; Metazoa; Mollusca; Bivalvia; Mytilida; Mytilidae
Source: RNAcentral
GUGGCGUAGUCGCAUACAUCUCGGGGCAUUCUUGAGCACCAGAUAUCGUCCCCGAAUAUGGGUGUGGUUUCUGGUUUUCUGUCUAUUUUUUUCUGUGUAGUUUAGUGUUUUGUCUUUUCUUGCCUUUAAUUUUAGUCACGAUGUAUUGUCUGUUUUUCUUUUUAUUUCUGAUUGUCCCUUUUGCAGUUCUGCAUUUUUUUUUUUUAUCAUUAAUUAUAAAUAAUCGGAAAAAUCACUGGCAAAAAUUAGGCAGGAAGUACAGGCCCUGUUGGGACCUCCUGAAUGUACGCCUGUUUUUUGUGAGUAUCAUAUUUCGUAUUUGUCUUUUUGGUCUCUUAUUUGUUGGACAUAAUGAUGUCUUCCUCUUAUGGUUAUUUUGUUGCUCUCUGGUGCUAUCUUUUUCGAACCAUGUAUAUAUCGUGUAUCUUAUUUGCCCACUUUUUUUUCUUUUUUUUUUGUCACAGAUCUAAAACUUCAAACAUAAACUUUCAUAAGACAUAUGUAUCUAAUUUUUUUUCUUUUGUUCUCGUCGUAUGUAGUGGUUAUUUGUCAUAUUUGCCGUUAUCGCGCCGCUUUUUUCCCCUUUUUUUCAAGUACCUUCAAAACAUUCCUCAGUAAUAUGCUCUUUUAUAAUAUUAAAAUUCUCCCUCAUAAAUUCGACCGAAUUUUAAAACAUUUCUAAUCCAUGUACAUGACUUAAAAAGAGGCAGAAACUUAGAAGAUACUAUAUAUAUGUGCAUAUAUAACUGAGUCAAAUGUCUCUCAUAUCAUCCUCGAGUAUAAUAUAGAAUAAUUGCAGAUUUUGAUAGUCUUGUCCGCAAUGUGCGUUAAAUAUACUGCACAAUGCUUUUUAGUGUCGGGUUUAAAAAAAAAAAAACAUUGUUAUUUGAACUUGAUUUGUUUUUAGUAAUUUACUUCCAUCUCUCAAUUGCAUUAAAUUAUUGAGAUUGGUAUCAUGAUUUUUAUGCCAGUUUACGAAUAUAAUGUCUACUGAUCACGUUAUAUAACAAGAGACAUGAUAUAAUACAAUUCAACAUAUGUUAUAGGAUUAACACGACAGGUGUCC